Molecule: ribosomal RNA, 1445 nt
Filed under: uncultured organism
Description: SSU rRNA
Rfam family: Bacterial small subunit ribosomal RNA
Source: RNAcentral
AGCUACAGGCUUAACACAUGCAAGUCGAGGGGCAUCAGGAAGAAAGCUUGCUUUCUUUGCUGGCGACCGGCGCACGGGUGAGUAACACGUAUCCAACCUGCCCUUUACUCGGGGAUAGCCUUUCGAAAGAAAGAUUAAUACCCGAUGGCAUAAUGAUUCCGCAUGGUUUCAUUAUUAAAGGAUUCCGGUAAAGGAUGGGGAUGCGUUCCAUUAGGUUGUUGGUGAGGUAACGGCUCACCAAGCCUUCGAUGGAUAGGGGUUCUGAGAGGAAGGUCCCCCACAUUGGAACUGAGACACGGUCCAAACUCCUACGGGAGGCAGCAGUGAGGAAUAUUGGUCAAUGGGCGCUAGCCUGAACCAGCCAAGUAGCGUGAAGGAUGAAGGCUCUAUGGGUCGUAAACUUCUUUUAUAUAAGAAUAAAGUGCAGUAUGUAUACUGUUUUGUAUGUAUUAUAUGAAUAAGGAUCGGCUAACUCCGUGCCAGCAGCCGCGGUAAUACGGAGGAUCCGAGCGUUAUCCGGAUUUAUUGGGUUUAAAGGGAGCGUAGGUGGACUGGUAAGUCAGUUGUGAAAGUUUGCGGCUCAACCGUAAAAUUGCAGUUGAUACUGUCAGUCUUGAGUACAGUAGAGGUGGGCGGAAUUCGUGGUGUAGCGGUGAAAUGCUUAGAUAUCACGAAGAACUCCGAUUGCGAAGGCAGCUCACUGGACUGCAACUGACACUGAUGCUCGAAAGUGUGGGUAUCAAACAGGAUUAGAUACCCUGGUAGUCCACACAGUAAACGAUGAAUACUCGCUGUUUGCGAUAUACAGUAAGCGGCCAAGCGAAAGCAUUAAGUAUUCCACCUGGGGAGUACGCCGGCAACGGUGAAACUCAAAGGAAUUGACGGGGGCCCGCACAAGCGGAGGAACAUGUGGUUUAAUUCGAUGAUACGCGAGGAACCUUACCCGGGCUUAAAUUGCAGUGGAAUGAUGUGGAAACAUGUCAGUGAGCAAUCACCGCUGUGAAGGUGCUGCAUGGUUGUCGUCAGCUCGUGCCGUGAGGUGUCGGCUUAAGUGCCAUAACGAGCGCAACCCUUAUCUUUAGUUACUAACAGGUUAUGCUGAGGACUCUAGAGAGACUGCCGUCGUAAGAUGUGAGGAAGGUGGGGAUGACGUCAAAUCAGCACGGCCCUUACGUCCGGGGCUACACACGUGUUACAAUGGGGGGUACAGAAGGCAGCUAGCGGGUGACCGUAUGCUAAUCCCAAAAGCCUCUCUCAGUUCGGAUCGAAGUCUGCAACCCGACUUCGUGAAGCCGGAUUCGCUAGUAAUCGCGCAUCAGCCACGGCGCGGUGAAUACGUUCCCGGGCCUUGUACACACCGCCCGUCAAGCCAUGGGAGCCGGGGGUACCUGAAGUACGUAACCGCAAGGAUCGUCCUAGGGUAAAACUGGUGACUGGGGCUAAGA